Molecule: long non-coding RNA, 310 nt
Filed under: Callithrix jacchus (white-tufted-ear marmoset)
Lineage: Eukaryota; Metazoa; Chordata; Mammalia; Primates; Cebidae
Description: lncRNA (ENSCJAG00000073053.1)
Source: RNAcentral
AUCUCUCUGGCUACCCUGGUGGUCUUCAAUGCUCUGCUUCUCCAAGGAGUUUAGACUGUUCUGAGUCAUCAAGUGUGAUGAGCAAACGGAGUCUUGGUUGGAUUAAGUAGCUUGCCCAAGUCCCAGGGCUAGUCCAUGGCAGAGUCAAGAUUUGGUUACAGGGAUAUCCACUGGGCAAACCCAACCAGCCGAAGAGCCAAGGAGAUGGCAUUUGAAGGAGUCAGCCUGUAGCUGCUCAGAACACUGCAGAGAAGGGUUCCAAAUGACAGUGAGUGGGGUAUAGCCAAAUGGACAUUGACCAGCCCAUGCA